This 19118-nucleotide small RNA is filed under the name Rattus norvegicus (Norway rat). RNAcentral describes it as "uncharacterized LOC103691897". The record is from RNAcentral. Lineage: Eukaryota; Metazoa; Chordata; Mammalia; Rodentia; Muridae.
AAACCACAGGUUGAGAACGAGUACCCCAAGGGAAGGUGAUGAAAGUUUAUGGCUUAACUUUUGAGGCCUCUGCCCUUAGAGAGAUAGUAAAGAGCUACAGAGCCAAACUGGGCAAGGCCUGGUAAAGAGUGCUUUCAAGAGAGCCAUACUGCAGGAUGGAUGUCAGAGUUCCCCAAAGAAACAGGGUGUUAGGUCACUGCACUCGCUCUUUGAAGCAUAAUAGUAACUUGUCCUGGCGGAGACACAGGGACAAAUGAGUCAUUACUAAGAUAAGAAAAGUAGACCUCUGCAACUUAAAAGAUGUAGGAAAUCUGUUCAAAGGCAGGAUGAAUCCAACCCACGGUUUUUCUGAGUAACCGAGUGAUGCUCUUAGCAUUGUUUUGAAGAACACUAUAAUCAAUAGUGAAGUGGGACUUACAAGUUCCCCCAACUGUUCACACUAGGACUUUUUAGUCAUCCCUGUUAGAGAGAUGACUAUGUGAUAAAAGCCCAACAAAAUGAUAUACAGGAAUACAGAGAUCAUAGGAACUGCCCUUACACUUCCCAGGCUUUGAAAGACCCUAACCUACAGGUCUGAAGAUGAAUUCUGGAGCCUUGCCAAGUCACCUUCUAGCUUCAUUCACUUUAGAAAUCACGUAUCCAUUUACAGCUCUCCAUCUCUUUGCCCAGCCAUUGGCUGUAUGGUAGUACUUUAUUACCAAUCGAAGCCAGCUGGGGGCCAGGACCUUCAACCAAUUCCCAACAUAAGAUCAUAUAUAAUUGGCACUGUCAAUUAUAUAUGUGCCACAGAUCUAUGGGUCAUCUGGAAAGCUGUGCUCCUCUGAGCGAAGCUUCUGUUGGGAUCUUUAAGCAUCUGGAGGCACUGUACUGAGAGCUUAUGGAGCACGGUCUCCAUCACCAGUGCUGUCUGCACUGUGCCUCUCCUGUCUCACACAGUCUUGUGCAUGUGGAACAACAGAUAUUUUAGACAAAGCCUCCCUACCAUCCUUGCCCCAAAGUGAGCAAGUCAAAACGAGCCACCAGAGUAGAAGCCAGGCAGAGGGUCGCAGUUGUUUCCACACUAUGUCAUGUGGCACUUCUUGAGCAUGAGAGCUUGAAAGCUACGACUGUGAGGUUAUUUGUAAGUCCCAUAUAGGUGGACUUUCCUAAGGUUAUUUUUAGGUAAAUGUUUGCCCUGCCUAAUUUACAGUACUGCUGAAAGAGUCCUUUAUUUCUGAAUCCACCAUAGAUUAAAUGGGAAGGCUUUGGAGAUACAAGGAACCAAAUGCUUCACCGCAAACAGAAUUACUUCUGUUAUAAUUAUAUAUUUGGAUACACACUUGCAGGAGCAGGAUUCUCACCCAUCUGAGGGACCUGUACAAGGAGACAGGACAGACAACACAGAGAAGAGCCUCCAUUCCUGCUUGGUUAUGGCUCAGCCGUUAAAUGCUAGGCUCACAACCAAAAAUAUAAGAAAACUGAAUAAACACAAUCCUUAUCCUCGCUCCCACUCAUAACUGCCUGUUGCCAGUGGCAACACGCUGUGCUUCAAUCACCAGCUUGGGAUCAUGCUUGCCAUGGCUCAGACGCACAGCCUCCCACCUGACCUGAUCUACAUACGUGUCUUUCAGAGGGAUUUUAAGCAAAUUACCCUGGUUUCGUCCCCCUUCAGAAUGGAGAAAGAGUUUAGGAAACUGGUAACAGGAUUUCAUGUAAUGGAACAUGUUGACCUUGAAUAAGUUGGAGGUGAACAUCUGUGUGACCAUUGUCACUAGAGUUUCCUUGAGCAUACAGUCAAACUACGGCCCAUCACUAUCUAUUUAAGUAGAUACAUAUGACAGGGUUUUGGUUUUUUGUUUUGUUUUUUUGUGUUUUUUUUUUUUGGUUUUUUUUGGGUUUUUUUUUUUGGUUUUUUUUUUUUUGUUACUGGAAUACAAAUGCCUUCACAGGGCUUAAUGCAGCAUUCAUCAAACUAAUACCUACUAGCCAUACUGGACCAAUAAAGUUUUAUUCAAACACUGCAUAAUGUACAGUGCUGGCUAGCUCCAGAAAAAAAAAGUCAAUUUAACAGACAAUGGGUGGGCCACAUAGUCUAAAAUAGGUAUUAUAUCUCCCUUACACUAAGGUAUAAAUUGAUCUAUUAUUUGGGAUGUGUUAAAAAUGAAUAUUUGCUUGAGUCUUUUCCUUAUCAACUAUCUGAAAGAGACCAAACAAGUAGUAAGGCUAUGAUUAAAAAGGUUCAGAAAUUUUAUUUCUAAAUGACUGCAUAAAAUUGAUGCUUCUGUCCCAUUUCCCACUCUCUUGAGACACAUAAUAUGGACAAAAAUUGUCACAGUAUUGUUCUAUAGCACUGAGAUGUGAGGAGUGCUUGUCAUGGCCACUAACACCAAGAGGCAAAGCAUGUUACUUUAUAUAAAUAUGACAUUCGAAAAUUGAGUAAUUGUAGCACAGAAAACUCAAGUUAUGUAAGACUUACAUUAAAGAUUGGAAAGGUCAGGAGUGAUGGCUGAGAAUGAACACAGAGAGUUCCAAACCAGCCUUUAAGUCCUCCUCGUGGGAUACGAAUUGAGGAAGAUUGAAGUUUCAAGCCCAGAAGACUCACCCCUGUUAUUCAUCACUAUCUCUCCCAUUUGUAUUAUUAUCAAAGGCUACACUGUUUUUUGUUGAAAUUUGAACAUUCAAGAAAAUCCUUAGUUAUUCUACAUUAGGAGCAGCUUUACUUUAUACCAUUUUAAAGGGAGUCCAGACAAAGAAAUCCAAAACCUAUAUGUCUUCUCUCCAGACAUCCAUUGUCCUGGGAUUAUUGGAAAUGGUUAUGCAAAGACCAUGAGACUAAAUCUUCCAAGAGGUAUUGAGACCCUAGUCUCUGCGAUAGAUACAGAAGACAAGACGCCUGCCCGUCCACAGGGUCUUCCAUCCUGCCCUGUUGCCUCCCUUUGACUGUGAGUCACUUCCCCUGAAAGCUCUUCAGAACCAUUUAAGAUCCAACCUUGUUUGUCUUCUCUGCAUCAACUGCAAGCAACGGAUGCCUAGGAGACACUCAUUCCACUCAAGUCCAAGUUUAACUUUACACAGCUCUCUCCCCUACCAGGUUCCAGGCUGGGACCAUUCCUGGGCAUGAUAUCUACACUACAGAAUAUGUUCACUACAUAUUUGUGGAAUUAAUAAGAAAACUGUAUGUCAGGCCAGUGUGUCCCAAAAGCUGGUGAAGAGCUACGAUCGCUUAAGAAACACAUGGAGAACAGUGAUUCUCCAGAACUAUGACCAUGAACCUGCAUCCUUCACCCAUGAUGGCAGGGAACCGAAUUAUGUGUUCCAAGCUAAGUAAUGAACUUUGCAGUUCCAGGACCAAUGCAAUGGUCCUCUCCUCUGGGAGACCCACCAAGGACUGUAAAGAGCAGAAAUUAGGUGAACACCACAGCCAGCCCAGGAGCCAAGCCACCUUUUUGGGGGGUCUCACAUAUGGCAAGAGUGAUGUAGAUUUGGGAGCUGAAAUAAAGGCUUAGAGUCAUUGCUCUAAGAGGUUUGUAUCCUUAGAAGUUAAGCAAGAGAGUUGAUUUGCAAAAUGAAACGUGUAUUAGUACGUACUAAAAUGAAAUAUUAAUAUAAGAAUUUUGUGAAGAAGUGUUAAAGAGAUAUUUUUUAUUAUGUAUCUGUUUAGUGUAUGGGUGAAUGUGUUUUACUCUGUGUGUGUGUGUGUGUGUGUGUGUGUGUGUGUGGUGUGUAGUGUCUGUGUACAGUGUGUGUGCAGUUUUUAUGCAAUGUGUGCAGACACACACACAUGUUUGAGCUCACAUAUCCAGGCCAGGGAUAACUUGUAGAAAUCAGUCCUCUCCUUUGGCCAUAUGACAUCCAGAGUUUCAACUCAGUUCAGUAGGCUUAAGAGCAAGCAUCUUUAUCCCUGGAGCUACCCAGCCAGCCAGCCUGCCCUCAGGGUAAACGUCAAAUCCUACAGCCAGAGAAGGCGAUAUUGAAAAGCAGCACUGCAUGAAGGUCAGGGAGAAGGGGUUGAAAGAAAGAGUAGCUGAACAGAGCCUUAGAGGGUGGGCAUUUUUCUUUCAGGUGUACAAACAGGAGACCAAACAGCCAAGCAUCAUCAGUGGAUGACAUAAAUAAUGGCUAGGGAGGGGCACGCCUUUCAUUUAGGACCUUUCCCCCCAGUAUAAGUUCUGUUUCCUUCUAAUGACAUGGAAAGCCUGUGGAGGUCUGAGUAGAGAAGAAACAGGCGCCCACUUAGCUUUUAAUGGUAUCCCUGUAGCUAGCAUAUUGGAAUUAAAAUGAAUUGGGGGCAAGAUUAGAACAAAGAAAUCUUAGAAAAACUCUUGUUUUAGUGCAUGCUUGAGAUGAUGUCACAUCAGACCAAAUAUAGUGGUGAGUGCUUAGAUUCCAGUGACAUUUUGAAGUCAGCACCAACAGGCUUUGAUUCUAGAUCAUGGAAGAGGGAAUUCAAAGAGAGUUCCAAAGGUUGGGGCUAAACAACCAGAACAGGAAAAUGCAGUUUGCUGAGAUGUAUAACACAGGAAAGUGAACAGAAGGGGGUUAGAUGACAGCUUCAUUGGGGAUCUGAUUGAACUGGGGAAGUGGAGUGUUUCUUUCCUUCUGUCUUUCUCUGCUUUUGGCUUCCAGUGUCCUAUCUUGAGUUUCUGACUUCCAAAGAAAGAGUUAAGAAUUACACUUCUGAAAUUGCUCUUCGAAACCAUGAGGCACUGUGGAGGGACUGUUGUCAGCAUUUACACGUGGAAACCCCAGCAUGGUGCCAUCAACCCCAAGGAGAGCUUUUCCUCUGGCUUUUGGGAACUUGGGAAAGGAAACAGGAUUUCACAGCAGCCUCGGGGCUCUUGGCCAGGGCAGCACAGGGUAGAUUCUUUGCAGGCUACUCUAGUGCCCUUGCUGGAAACCCUCACAGUCUAAGCUCUUGCAAAUGGAACCUCCCAUCAUUAAAUCAUAACCUAAGGGGACACAGAGUAACAACCAACCGACUGCUCAUGCCUACCUCUCUUUGCCCAGAAAGCAAACGCAUUAAGAGCAGCCGCAGAAACUAUGAUUUCAACGGAGAGGAUCUGAAACCUGUGGAUUUCCUCUUUAAGGAAACCUCGCAACCCAUCUCCCAUAUCCAGCUCAUCUCAAAAACCACCAACUCUGUCCUCACCACUCCCUGCCAUCAAAUCCUGGUAGGAACAGCUGUCACCACAAAAGUCAUACUGGGCCAGGACAGCCAGCUGGCUCAGUAAUUCACAAACAAACUAACCUUGAAUUUUAUUUUGAGCAGUAGGGCUAGCUAGCCCCUUGUGUUCUUUAGAACCAUCUCUGUUUUUACUCUUUGAUAAACAAACACCAACUCAAAUGUCAUUUUGGGCUGUAUUGUGGGGUUUCAAGGCCAUUACCCCAUAUUGCUUUCUUUGCUGCAAGUCUUUACAUUAGCAUACAAAACACUGGGUUAGCUUAUGACAAUUUUGUACUCGCUUUGUUCUUAUUCAUUUCCACCCUCACUCCGCCUCCACCCUCCACCCCCAUCACAAAAGAUGCUAUAGUCUUCUGAAGUCUCCCUUCAUAAUGAAAAGCCUUUAAAUCUCGACAGUGUGGAGACUUGAGCAACCUAACUCCAACCUGAACUCUGAUGCUCAGGGAGAGAGGCUCCUAAACUCUUGUUCUAGUAACAAUUUAGUGAUCAUUUUUCACAGCAUAGACAGAAGUCAUGCAACUGGCAGAUGACAUAAUCCGGUAUUUUAAAAGAUGUGAGGCAUCAACAAGUGGAUGUGUUGCUGCACAGCACCACCUACUGGCCGGAUGUGGAACGACACGAAUGAGAAAGAAAAUCUGAGCGAACCCCAGAACCACCUAGAAACUGGAGAUGUGGGAAAGAGGGAGAUAAAGAGGAAGGAAUGAAUUUAGACAACUGUUCAUAAAAGUCUAUAUUCUACUGAUGCAGAAGCUGAGCUCAGAGCACCUAAUAACGUUCACAAAUGGAGCAAAGGCCCAACAGAUGUCCUUAGAGGGGAACCCAUUUUCACAUUGUCCAAGUUUAAAAUAAUGACUCUUCUGUAAAAGUCAAGAAUAGAUAUAUAAGUAACAUAACAAAGAGGCCAGAAACUAAUUAUCACAUCAGUCCACUUCAUUAGGGACAAUGCUUCAAAGUUGUUUAGACAAAUGUCAGUAUUUGAAACACUGCAUUUGACAAGUAUACAAAAUACAUAAUUUAAUGUUAUACUUAAUACCUUGUAUGCAACUAAAAUUAAUAUCUUAUAUUUAAAUAAAAUGUGACUAUAAAACUUUACAAAGAAAAGCGAAAGAGAAAAUUCUUUGUGGUCUUUGGCUAGGGAUAAGAAGUCUUAUAUGUGACAGCAAAAGUGCAGUAAUUAAAGAGAAAGUUAAUGGGCAGAUAGUAUUAAUAGUACAGAAACACUCAACCAGCCACUCUUUAAUAGAAUGCAAACUUCUUUCUGCCACAUCACAAUGACUGAAAUAUGUUCUAGACGGUAGAUCAGGUUCACGUUCUCCAUCAACCUUGAGUGCACAUUCAACAUGGAUGCUCUCUGCCUCCGGGAAUGUUUUCUGUACCAAAUAUAAUAGAAAUAGUUGGGUAGCUGUAGCCCCUGGUCUUCCUUUUCGGACAUUCGUUUACAUUCGCACCUGCCUGUAGGACGAAAUCUCAGCAUCAAAGAAAAGAGUUCAGAUGUCGCCACCUACAGGCAGAACAUGAAUUAGUUUCCAGUUACCACACCAGGAGAGGGUCAACUAAGGCAAGGAGGAGCGAAAAAUCACCAAAGCCUUGACUGUGCCGAAGCCUCGGGUUAAGCUGGGGUGAAAAUUGUAACACAAGCGAAGGAGAGGCAAAGGCAACAGUAAUGACCAAAGGAAAAGGCCAAGGAGGAAUGGAGAAAGUGUGGGAGUGAUCAAAUGUGGCUGGUUCUGCAGCAAGGGGAUGAGGGCCCAGUCUCCUGAAAUAAAAUCUCCACAAGAUUUUAAUAAAAUAAUUUGCUGAACCAUGAUAAUUAGAAGACCUAGUUAAUUGAUUUCAUACAUGUUAAAACAUUUUUUCCGAAACUGUCACUCUGUAAAAUAUUACUCUAGACUAGAAUCGCCCCUUUAAAAGACAUUUUAAAAGAUCCCCUUCACUCGUUCGCUCUUUCUUUGAACCAUUAAAGUUAUUAUAUAGCAAGGAGCAAUUUGCAAUAAUUUACUCCCCAAAAAUAAUAUUAAGGUGGCUAUGUACCCAGUGUGUUUGACUUAAGCAAAAGGGUUUCCCUUCCAGGACCUCACGAAUGCACAAGGUUCAAUUUCUGCAGAGCGCUAAUGAACAAGCUGCUCUCCCAGACCGGGCCCCUGCACAGAAUGACUUCAUUCAGGGCUACUGCUCGCGCAUGGAAAGUGUUGGUUAAAAAUCCCACAGAGUUCAGACGACCUUUUCCUAACUCCCCCCGCCCCUUAUUUGUCUUUCUGGUCUAAGCCAGGAGUAACAUAAAUAUUCAUCAGCUGAUGUUCGUAGCUGAGAAGUUAUGAAUGAGGCCACGCGAUGUAGUUCUGACCCCAUCCUCAUUCCGGCAGCUUCUUCAUGUAGCUCCCGGGCAAAGGACACUUUCUGAACUCCCCUUUCUUACUAGAGAGCUUUUUCAGAUUCAGUCCCUUUCCCGUUUAAAGCCCUAAGAAGAAACACUGUCUGCUUAAUGUUUACUCUGGGUUUAUAGAAGAAGAAAAACACCCCCGCUCAGCCAAACUUUAAACCUUUAGAUGCCUUGUCAUAACGGGAGCACGUGUCAGUAGCUCAAAGCAUCAAUGGGUCUAGAGAUGGAUGCCACGGGGGCGGGAUCUUUCUAUCGUACUGUGGCAAGGUCUUUUUUAUAUCAAAUUCCAGACAGAUACCUAGGGCACUUCUUGUUCAAAGAGCAGAGAAAAUAGCCACAGCUUUGAUCUCUGUCUACGGCUUGGCUAAUUAUCCAGACAGGUGUUCAAAAAGGAUGUUGAAAGUUCUUGAAUAACAGCACAUCAAACAGGUCUUCAGUGCUGAGACAAAAUGGGGGCGCGGGGUGGGGGGGGAGAAGCGACUAUGAAGCCUGACAGGCCUGCGGUGUAAUUAGUCUUUCUUUAGUGCACAUUUCCCACAAAUUACUGCUUUUUAUUAUGGACUCCUAAUUUUUUCAGCUUCCAGCUCAUAGGAAUUUCGGUAUAAAGCUGAAUAUGGAAGCAAGAGGCUAUGAUGAUGUUAGCAACCCACCAUCCAGUUGUGAGUAAACCAGAAGCCAGCAUGCUUCCCUAGAGGUGGGUAGGUUUGUCAACACACCACAUUCUGCUUUCAACUGUAUUUUGCUUUCCUUGUCUCUUGGGGAAAUAAUACCUGUAUUAAAUAUUCUCUGGAUAACUCUAGGACUGAGGGAAAUAGGAAGUGUCACUACAAGUGCCAUACAUAGAAAAGGCUUCUGGAACUGUUCUGUGCUAUGUGCUAUGAGCUUUGGGAUAAGCAUAAGGAUCACUAUUUCUCACUGUCAAGGCCCUGUGUUUUUUCUAGGUUUUACCGUGUGCCAUAUCUGACAGUGGAAAUAAUGUCUAGACCACAGAAGCAACGAGAUGGAGAACAGGGUCUCAGGUGUUCAAAUGAGGACCAGAUCCUAAGCUGGCAAGAGGCCUGACUGGGACAGAUACUCACAGCCAGAUUCCUGUCUCGUCUCCAUCCUGGACUCUGCCCCUGCCAAGACCAGAACAGGAGCCAGAGGCAAGCAUUCGACUAUAUUCUCCAUGGCUCCGGUCCUUACCAGAGCAAGGUUGAUGGAGAGCCAUUGGAGGGAGUCACAGGCAAUGACCUGCAGAAAAACUACCCAGGAGACAGCAAUGAUGGAUUGUCAUGCAUACCCAGAGACAGCUGGAAAGCCAGCUGAGUUAGCAAAGGCAAAAAAACCACAUUUCCUCUCCCUCCAUCCCUUGCCCAACACUGAACGUUUCAACCUAAGAGUAACAGAGAACAGAAUUAGGUGUUGAUCUACCUUUGAAACUCUCUCUCUAUAGUGUCAUAUAAGAUCACAAUGUCAAAAAUAUUUCAUUGAUAUACUCCUUGCUUUCUUGGUGUCCAGGAAGAAAGUAGCUUGAUAGUGACCUAGAAAAUCUGCUAACAGAUGAUUCCAUUUCUCUGCCUUGUGUGUAAUCAGCGAACUCAACGGAGAAGACUUCAGAUUGGCUGAGGACCUCCAUAAGCGCAGUUCACAGUACCAGGGUGGCAUUAGGAUUUGAAGGCUCCAUUGUGCCAGCUAUUUCCAGUUCUUCUGUGAAUUCCCUUCAUUGUUUGCUGGUCUUGCGAGCCUUCCCUCAUGUACCUUCCUUGCUCCAUAUAAUGCCUUCAGCCACACUUGUGGAGGCCACACUUCUUCCAUUGUAAAGUUGGUAAUUUUUUAAAUAAUACUCACCUGAAAUGUUUAGUUUUAUUUAGACUGAUUAAGACAGUUAUUCUGGGGAUUUGCAUGAAUAGAUUUUUUUCAUUUCUUAUAACUCAAUCUUGUUUUUAUUGUCUUAAAGCUUAUCAGUUAUCAUUGAUUCUGCUACUGUCGGUUGACUGACCUUGGCUAAGUCAUACCCUUUCUGGGUAAGUUUCUUAAACUGCAGAUGAACGGGCAAAAGUGUAGAGUUUUCAUAGUGUCCACAGAACCCCAGCCCUUCCCUCUGUUGUGUCUUUAUCCAAAGCUUUCAUAAUAAAUACUUGGGCUGGGGAAAGUAAUUAACUUCUUGAAUCAACUCGGUAGCUGAUGUGUCUUAUACAAGACAUCGAACACAAGACUCAAUGUUAAAUUUAUGGGAUUGAUUUAGGUACACCAAGAAGAAAACAAACAAGAUGGUAAAUUUGAAAGAAAGAGAAAAUUUGCUUUACUAUAUGUCUAUCAUUUCAUGACCUCAAAUUGACAUGCUCAUUCUGGGUCACUGAUGGGAGACUGAGUGAAUGAAGAAAAAGAUAAUUUAAUGAGACCUCGGGCUAGCUCCCGCACAUUGUAAUUUUCUAGUUGUCGAGGGAUGAUGCAUUCACAAGGUGCCAUAAGAUUAUCGUCAGAGAAUAAAUGCGUCCUCUUUUGGUAUCUAUAAAUGGGGAAUUAAUUCUAGACCCUCCAUAGAAACUAAAUUGCACAGAUAUUCAAGUCCCUUUGAUAAAACGGCAUGGGGUUUGCACAUAAACCAUGCUUACUGUCUAAUAUGUUUAAACCCAUCUCUAUUACUAACAACAUGAUAAAAUACAAAGGCUUUACAGUCAUACUGUAGUAUUUUGGAGAAGGCAAGAAAAAAUGUGCACACAUUCCAUGCAGGCACAGCUUGGCUUGUCCUGUGGGGGUUUGAGUCCGUAGGUGUGGAAUCUACCAAUACAGAUAGUUAAUUGUAUGUUUCCAAAAUUUCUUUUUCAAAAUGGAGAUAUAGCCAGAAAACAGGAUUUGGUUUGUAAAAUGGCACAAAGAGACGGUUUGCCAGGUCUAACACACACACAUAUACCAGUGCAGAGUGCCAAGUUAAACUUGAAUCUCACAUAACAAGUGAUAUUUUGAAAGCCAAAACAUUACUUGGGAUAUAUUUUCACUACAAAUUUCAUUGUUCCUAUAGCGUACCUACGGUUUUGUUGCCAGUAAAGUGGUCAUACAUUGGGAACAGCAUGAGCUCUGCUGUUCCCUGGUCAAUACUGAGCAUCCAGAGGGUCACAUAGAAAUUAGUACUUCUUCUUCCUGCCCACAUAUGGCAGGUCAAGAAAGAAAUAAGUGGUCCGUAUGAGUUCUGUUUCCUCAUUAUCAUGAGUGGGAGAUGGAAAAAAAUUAAGUGACGUUUUCUUCAUAACAAAUACAGGAGAUAGGAAUGGCAGAUAGCUGAACAUCUCACUACAGGAGACUAUUGGGUCUGUGACUCAAAAGCACCAAGGCAACACUCUAGAGGAACGAGAUUGGAAAAUCCAAAGUAUCAUUGCUGCUUUCAAACCAUGUUACCUCAAACCCUGUAGCACCCACCGUGCCAUGGCUACAGCUUGGGGAUUUGCCUAUUCCUGUGGUUUUUCUAAGGCAUUCAUCCUUUCUCUUGACUUAGUUCAAACUGUGUCUUAUUGCCAACAAAUCACCAUGAGUUCCAAAAUCUCACCUGGGCAUCAUUUGUUCAUCAUCAUGCUGAAAUGUGAUUUUUUCAGAGCAUUGAAGAGAUGUUGAUUAUGCCUCUUGUUUUAAGAUGACUCAAGCAUGGGAUGACCAUGCAUCCCAUACCUUUGCCCCAUUUACCUGGCUAAAGAAUUCUUUCUCUGGCCUGUGUCAAGAAUGCAUAUUGAUACAUGACUGGCAUGCUCCAAGGAUGUGAAAAUUCUGUCACUUUGUUGAAUUUCUGUUGCUUAUCAAACUCAAUUUGAUGUUUACUGGAGAAUCAAAGGACUUUUAAAUAUCAGAAUCUAUAUUUAAGAAAACCAUACUCCUUAAUAUUAUUACAUUAUCAUUUCUAUUUCUUAUUGUCAAUCAAAUAAACUCACAGUGACACUUUGUGAUCAUAAAGUCUCAUUUGUACUUUCAGAAUAAUGUAUAAAAUCAGCGUUCUUUCUUCAAGUUGUCUGGUUUUAAGUUCUUAAGUUAACGACAAUGGAAACUUACCAUCCUAAGUUAAAUAUUAAAACAGUGAAAAGCAAUGCAAGGAAUAGUUCAUCCUAAUGCGGGGGGGGGGGCACUAUCAAGAACGCCAAAGCCUGGGUGACAGCUCCUGGUCCACUCUUCAUUAUUGCAUGAUCCUGGUGUUCAGAGAGAGAGAUCUGGGGCACAGAAGCAAGCUCUGAAAAAUCAUAGAUCAUGCACACAACACUGCCCCUCCCAGGCUUCCUGGCAUCCUCCAGUGAAACUUUUAAAAUAUCUGUAUUAAUUGAAUAUUGUUUUAGUAACUGUCACUGUGAGAUAUCUUAUGAUCAAGACAAUUAUUGAUUUCACUGAACUGUUUCCAUGUUGUGACCUGGUUCUGAAUAUGACCAUUUCUUAGAUUCAAGUAUCUGUAAUUUUGCUUCCCAACUCAUAGACCAGGGAACACCCAACCAUGAUGAAUACAGAAUGGGAAAGCAGACUGACUUUUACACUGGGGAAGAGUACUAGAGAUCACUGGCUUGCGUUUGAUUUCUGAUCAACAGUCAAACACUUCAAGGAUCACAAGAGCAUGAGAUGUACUGAAAGUAAUAAGAUAAAUUCUUUGAAAGGUAAAGAAAAUGCUCUUUGAAAUUAAAUUAAUCAAAUUAAAUCUUUGAAUGAUGUGAGUCGUAUUCCCUUCUCACUGUAGCUUGCACUCGUACCAUUUUCCUUUUAUUGGACAAGUUAAAAAUCACAGGAAGACUGAACGUGUAGCAUCAAGAAGGUAUGUGCUUGGGGAAAUUAAUAGAGAAUGUGUGGUUGAGAUCCAUUCAAAACAUAUGCUCUCUCCUUCACUUCCAAAAGUAGCAGAGAAGAGCGUCCAAAGUAGAUAUGCUAACAAGUGUUUAGUAGAGGGACAAGAUUCUCAUUUCUGAGCUCUUGGUGUGGCUGCUUCAAAGCAGAGGCAGUUGAAACAUGCAUGCCCCAUGCCCUUUAACUGCUGCCUUCCUGAGGAGAGCCAUAACCCUGGGAGGAGCCUGGCUUCCCAGAGCCUUUCCCUCCCUGUUUCUCUGUUUACACAUGCAUCAUUUUCUCCAUCAUUUGCCUGCCUGGUACAGGAUGGACAAGGGAUGGCCAAAGAGCUGAAGGCCAAUCAAAUAACCCAGAAUAAAUUGUUAACAGACCUAGACUAAGAUCAGCCAAGAAACAUUUAUCUAAAAUGAUGCUUGGGAGAAAAUCUGUAGAUUUCAUUGCAUUUGUGUUUACUUGACAACAAAGCCUGUGGUCUAUUUAGUGGAGAGUGGACAAGUAACUUGUUUUUGCCGUUGUGUGGACAAAUCCACCAGCUGAUCCAAUGGCUGCCUUUCAAAUGUAUUCAUUCUGGCUUUUGUAUACACUGUCUUGGCCUAAUUGUGACUAUUUAAGAGUUUCAUGAAAUAAAUCAUUUUAGUCCUUUUCUUUGAUGGAUUGAGGUUUUACUUAUGACUGAGUCUUAAGUGUGGUUAUUGCUGUCGUUGUUGGUAUGUGUUUGGGAAUAUUGAAAACAGUGAAUCUUAACAGUGUUCAGUCAAAUGACGAGAGUUUUUUCAAAAACUUUCUUUUUAUUCCUUACUGCUUUAAAAAAAAAGUACUACUUAAAACAGGGGUAUUCAAACCAUGACACAGAUUAUAUUUAAACACACACUUCAAAUUUUUCAAAAGACUGUCGCAUACUACUCUUUAAUGUUUAUAUUGGAUGUGUUAUAGCUUGGAUCUAGACACUCCACGAAGUCAUAUAUAAAAGUCAUAGAAAAAGGUUCAGUUGUUAUUUUGUGGCACCAUCAGUAAAUGCAUCAUUAAAAAGAUGUGUCUCCCUUGGAGACUUUCAGAGACUGAAUCACCAACCAAGUAUGAACUUGACCUAGCCCCCACACAUAUGCUGCAGAUGGGCAGCUUAGUCUUCAUAAGGGUCUCCCAACAACUGGAGGGGAGCUGUCCCUGAAUUCAUUGCCUGUCUAUGGAUCCUAUUCUUCUAACUUGUCCACCUUAUCUGGAGAGAGGAUGUUCUUAGUCCUGCAGUAACUGAUGUGCGGGGGUUGGGUGGGGGACCACACCAGAGGAAGACUCCCCUUUCUCAAAGGAGAAGGGGAGGGGAAAACAGGGAAGAAGCUGUGAGGGUGGGACUGGGAAAAGGAGGGCUGAUAUUGGGGUGUAAAGUAAAUUAAUUAUCAAAAGAGAAAUGGCUCUACUAAAAAUUGUUUAUUUUGGUUUUCCCAGGACAUGCUGCUUCCACCCAGUGCAAAAUAGGACCAGAUAAUUGUGAAAUGCAGUCUGUGCAAUGAGGAGCCAAUGUGUCUUCCCUUCUUAUAGGCUGGUUAUCUCGGGUAUCUUACUACAACAACAAAUGGCUAACUAUGCAAUAGAAUUAGAAUAUAAGCUGAUGUUGGAAAAGAGAUUGAAUCUUGACUUGGGGAGAGUUAUGGUCUAUUACUAGGUUUUAAUCUUUAGCUGAGACUUGCUUGUUUAUACUAAGACUGUUAAUAUAGCAUGAAUGAAUAAAUAAAUGUAAGACCAAAAAAUGUUUUCAAUUUGAGUAAUGUUACUUGUACCUUAUGAUAAAGAAUUUUUUAGAUACCAAAUAGGAGCCAGAAUUCCCUAGAGAAUGAUUUCACACAAGCUCCUAUUUUGCCAUUUGAAAUACUCAGUUGGGCAUUCUUCCUAUUGUCUGACCUACGCUUUCAUUCUUAAGUUUCUAAGGUCUGUCAUCACAACACAGGUCACGUGUUCUUACUCCUACUUUGGUAACAGCUUACACAUACAUUGUUACUUACGGUUUGUCAUCAUGUCCUACUGGUCAAUGAUAUUACUAGACACGUAGACAAUGAGAUCUAACAUCCAGGAUUGUUUUAUUAAAAUAAUGGGUCCUUUCAGUGUGUGGACUGAAGAUAUUAGACAAAAUUCUUGCUUUUGUUUCAGUGAAUCAUAACUAAAAGUCUAAAACCUAAUCAAGGAAACAACCAAAAACCAAAGCUACUUGAAAACAACUUCCCUUCCAAAUAAUUUUAAAAUAUAAUUACAUGUAUUAUUUCAAUUGAUACUCUUAUGUGCAAAUAUCUUAUACAUCAUAUUUUAUUUAUUCUUAUAGUUUAUAUACCUAUGAUAUGGGAAUCAGCUGUGAUAAGUCCAAAAGCUACAUUAAAAUCAUUCCCUGCAACUGCCUGGAGUAGUCAUGCAGCAGAAUGAGUUCAUUUCAACUAAUCUUGAAACUGUUCAAUUAAUUUUCUUUUGUUCCUAACAUGGACCUCAACUUCUAGUUCUAUGCCCUUUACUGAUGACCCAUUAGAUACAUAUGACUACUUAAAUUUAAAUGAACUAAAAUCAAAUAAAGAAUAUAAUCAUUAAUAAUUCCCAAGUGUUCAAUAGCCACAUCUGUUAUUCUACCAGGAAGAACAUAUAAAAUAUUUCCCUCAUUACAAAACAUCCAAAGGGUCACAUGCAGUUGGUUUGCUCAUCAAAAAUUUCUUAAAAUGUUUGUCAUCAUGGAAUAAGUGCCCAACAAUUUGCAAAUAAUAAUUAUAUUACUGUUGCUAUAUGAGUCAAAAUGUAUAUUAAUAAUUAAAAUUAGACAUAUCCAUGUUGCUUCUCAUAUAUUUAAAUUAAAUAUAUAAAAUUAAACACGGGGUAGGCUGUUUUGUUACAAACUUACAUUUUGCAACAUUUUCAGCAUGAACUCCUAGCUGGAAUUUUGAAACCCAAAGUCACAGAAAUGGCCUUCUACCUAGCAGGUUUUGGAGGUGAGAAGACAUUAAGAACACAAGUCUGCUUCUUUUGAUGAAAUUAGUUGUUCUAAGACAACCUAAAAUGUUUGCAGAAAGAGUAUGACCCCAGAAUAUUAGCACUGAGGGGCAGGAGUGUCGAGAAAAAAUUUAAACAUGUAGAAGCCCAUAGAAUGUAGCCAUUCUUCUAGUUAAGAGUUGUCAGUGAAUCCAGGAACUGAGUGCAUCAGAACAGGGCCAGAACACAGGGAAGAUGGGAAGUAACUGCCGAAUGCCAGCAUUGCUGACACAAAGGUAUGUGUUCAGUACUAUGACAGCAUAGAAAAUCACUCACAAAAUCGGGAGAAAGGGGAAAAGUAGGUGCUAGACUCUCAUUACUUCCUCACAGCAGUAACUCAACCAAUGUGGCCCAAAAUUGAAAUGUGUGUGCCAUAAACCAAAAUUACCCCUAGCUCUUAGGUUUUUAUAAUUUUAAAAUAUCCAGGUUAUGCAUAUUAUCUCCUUUCAAAGAAAAACAUUUUAAUUUUGAAUCCUUUAUAUUUCAUGUCCUCUUCUACUAAACUCAAACUAAAUAAAAAUGAACAUUUUACUUAAAUAUAAUAUUCAAUGUGAAACCCUAGUUUAGUAAAGACAGCUCUAUCUGUCCAUACAGCUGAUAUCUCUUAAAUAUCCCCAGCAGUAUCUGAGACAUUACCUCUAACACAAUAGGUUAUUUUCAUGUGUUAAAAUGGUUAUUUUUAUUCUUCACUGUUGCAUUGUUUGAAUUUUUAAAUAAUUGUUUUUACCACAACGUCAAUGUCUUAUAAGUAAACAUGAAAUGCACAUUGGCACGCAUUAAAUUACCUCCCCUAUUACUAGUGACUGCUAAUAAGAUUUUUUUCUUUUAAGAUUGUUUUACAAGUCACAAUACAUUUUCUUCAUUUCUCCCUGCUAGUUUCAUAAUAACCCAUGUGUUAGGCAGACGCUGGUCUUAGAUUCACAGCUGAGACUGGAGGGGCCUCAGGUUGAACUGCGGUUCGCAGGCCCAGGCACUCAGGUCGUCAAGAUCCUAAUACAGGGUUUCCUGGCACAUUGGCCUUGGUCUUCAAGCAGUGACUGUGAUAAGGAAAUGUAGUAUAUGCCGUAAAGGCCCUUCCUGUAUAGGAUAAAGACCCUUCCUGUAUAGGAUCCAACACUAAGGAGAUACCACUGUUAGGAACAAAUGCAAAUUCAACUGCAAAGUAUAACAAAUCAGCCCUAAAGAUGAACGACAAAACUAAGCAAACCAGGUAGGAAGCUGGGCCUCAUAGAGCCUUUCCCCCAGCCAUGCUGAGUCAAAGGAAACGAUGAAAUCAGGCAUGUUGCUUAUAAAGACUCCACCCCUCAUCUCGGCAUCUGGAAUUCCCCAAUUCCUGACUUCUAGAAGGAACUGGGAAAUUUUCAGUUGAACAUUGUCAUUAUCUAAGUUCAGAAAAGUAUCCUUAGAGAAGCAAACAGGAAAUGAUUUGUUUGAAAAAGCAUCCCUUUCUUUUCCCUUGGCUGUCUAUGGAGAACCAGAUUGAGGAGAAAAGAGCUCUAUUGCACAAGUUAGAUUUGGAAAGAACAGGAAAUUCUAUCUCUUAAAACAGAUAAAAAUUUUCCAUCCUAUAAACAUAUAAUGAUGACCUGCUAUCACUUGAGUUAACAUAGCACCUAAAAUAGUCACCCUGAAAUAUUUCUAUAAUUGCCAAAUGACAGAGUGCACACUAUGAAAGAGUCCAAGGUCAGAGUGUGUCCCCCAUCUCUAUGUAAUACGAAACCUUCAUAUUUUCAUGCACAGACUUUAUUUUGUUGCUAUGCAACUUACAUGCAACACAGGGCAUGUAAAUAAAUUAUGGAUUCUACAGAGAAAGAAAAAAAUCCUUUCUUCUUCUUUGAGAACAAGUCACAACUUCCUUUCAUGCUAUCCUAAUGCACCACAGCCUUUUCAAGCUGUUUCACAAACACCAAGGUUUGGGCCAGAUAAACAAUCAAAUGAAUAACACAGCUAGGAUACAGAUGCAGUUUGCAAACUGCACGCUAAGCAGCAUCUGUCCCACUACACUCAGCCCAACAGGCCUGAGAACUGGGUACCCAAGCUUGGUAGUAAGGAGGAAGUUUAUUUCACACCCACACUCUUCCAGAUAGUAGAAUAUAAGCAAGCUUAAGCAAAGGAAAUUCUGGAGAUUUCUAUUGGCAGCCAUCCCAAGCUAUUCAGGCUCCAGGCAUGACUCUGUAUCAGGUGGAAGAAGUGUUUCGGCCCUGACAGAAACACAGCUAUGAUAAGAAGAUGUUAUGGGGCAGAGGUGGAGUGGGGGAGGGCACUUAGUGAUCUUCAACCAGAUGUCAGCCCCAUCUACAUAGAACAUGACCAUCUCAGUGUUCAAACUGAAUAGAUUUUCCAGGAAAAAGCAUAAACUGAUAGCGCAUGGGCAUUAAUGCAAAGCAGAGGCAACUUCCGGGGGGAGUGAAAGAACUUGUAAACAACCCAGGCGCCUACCAAUGGAAGAAGUGAUCACUGUGCUGUGGCAAAGUCUCACAAUGGAUCAGGGCAUACUAUAGAUCAAUAAAUAAAAGUAGCUGCUGAUAGAUGAGCUCCACAUGGAGUGAGCAGAAGACUGCAAAUACCCAAGCAUAUCCCAUAAGGUUUGCAUCACGUGAUCUUCAGCAGCUCCUAUCAGCAGUCCUUGGCCACAGACACCAAUGCCGUUUACUUCUGAAAGGCAGGGUUCUGUGAGGAAGAUGGACAUUUUCUACAUCAGGAUCUACAGGUGACCCUACGGUUGUAUAAAAUGUAUCCACCCACACACUUGUCUUUACAGCUCUACAUGCUCCCUGUAGGUAUUCGAUGCCUCAGUCAACUAUAAAAUAAAACGGGAAGAAUCAACCGUGAAGAGAGUGCCUGGCAUUUCUAGGUGCCAUAUGGCCUGUCCCUACAGCUUACACUCAUUGACCUCGCUGGAUGAGAAGACGCCGCUCAUAGGCACAGAAGUCUGCUUUGUCACGUCCAAGUUGUUAGGAUUCAGGUUAUGGUUUGUAGAACACUGUCCUACUGCACUGUGGUCUAGAUCACACAACAGACAAGGAGGCAGCCUAACGAAACCAUUUUUUCUUUCCUCCCCAAGAUUUACAAAACCUCAGAGAACAGAUGAGGAUUAAACAGUAUGCAUACAUAUGCAUAUACACAUGUGCCAAAAGCCCCAAGGCACAGCAUGAUUGUAUAUGAUGUUUGCGUUUUGUGUAUAUGUUUAAUAAGAAACUUAAUUUUUAAAAAAAAAAUCAGAAACAGAAAAGACAAUCAAAAUUUAUUGGCAGGACUCCUGGGAAGGGAUAUGCGAAGGACACAGUCCAUGCUUGUCUCAAUCAUUCCUGUAUCCUUAUUGUUUCCAGUGAAUCUGACCCCUCUCUUAAAAAAGAAGAAACAACUCUAUCUUUCUGGUUUUGGAAAAUCUGUCCAACAUGAGGUUUCACACAUGCUCUAGCUCCUAAAACAGAAAAAGGAAUCUACAUUCCAUAGUUCUGACCUUACACAAAAUUAUAGGCAAUGUGCACAUCUCUAGCGAUUCUCAUUGGAAUUUGAACAAACCUUUCUUGUGGAGCUUCACUUCCUAAGCCACUAUCAACAUCUUAGGAUGGCAUCGUCCAACAAUGUAGCCACGAUGGAUAUCACUCACUAAUAGCAAGGGUAUUUACUAACCAGUUGGGAAUACUUCUUCACUGAUUAACUAGCAAGUAACAGCAUGAUAUGAAAUGAAGAUGAUGUCACUUACUCCUCACAGGGAAAGAUGAAAAGAUAAAAGCCGACUACCCCAUCUUUAUCAGAGUAAAGGACUGUGUUUUAAUCUAG